GAUAGGGGAGCCUUACGGCUGAGAGGCAGCGCUCGCUGCGACCCUACGACCUGAACUAGGUAAUGCUAGCGGAGGGAAUCGGGUUA
RNAcentral lists this non-coding RNA (86 nucleotides) under bovine gut metagenome. The record is from RNAcentral.